CGGGAAGUAGCUCAGUUUGGUAGAGCACCUGGUUUGGGACCAGGGGGUCGCAGGUUCGACUCCUGUCUUCCCGA
This 74-nucleotide transfer RNA is filed under the name Ligilactobacillus salivarius. Its description in RNAcentral is "tRNA-Pro". It matches the Rfam family "tRNA". Rfam says of the family: Transfer RNA (tRNA) molecules are approximately 80 nucleotides in length. Their secondary structure includes four short double-helical elements and three loops (D, anti-codon, and T loops). The record is from RNAcentral. Lineage: Bacteria; Bacillati; Bacillota; Bacilli; Lactobacillales; Lactobacillaceae.